Vombatus ursinus (common wombat) is the source of this 1883-nucleotide long non-coding RNA. RefSeq lists it as uncharacterized. The transcript is spliced from 3 exons. The record is from RefSeq and is a predicted model, not a curated record. Lineage: Eukaryota; Metazoa; Chordata; Mammalia; Diprotodontia; Vombatidae.
CCAGGAGAAGAGCAUACUCCCUUACUUCUGCAAUGUAAAUGGAACCAGAGGCAAGAGGCAACCCUAUGUAGAUUCACUGCAAGGCUCCACCUUGGUUCUGGAGCAUGAAAGAUGCCACAAAAGGCCUCCUCUCGUAAGAAAGCAGGCUCAUCAGUGGGCAGAACCACUCACAAGUCUGAUAGCAGGGGCGGUUAUCAGCAGAUAAACAAGCCUGAUUCUGCAGUUUGGACCUUCCUUGCAUUGGAAAAGAAGAAAAGAGCUAAUUCAGCUAGAGAAGGCGAGGCAUUGCUCCUAGCGUGGCUUUCUGUCAUCAAGGCAAAGCAAAGGAUGCAAACCCACCUUCCCCAUGUAGCCCUUCAUAUACGGAAAGACGUAUCUCUUGUCCUCCAUUCCCUUCCUCUGGAUAAAUGUCCACCAUUUCUUCAACUCUUCCUACUGUAGCAUGGUGUUGAGGCCCUGCCCCAUCCUGGCCCUCCAGACAGGUUCAAGCUUAUAAGUGACCAUCCUCAAAUGUGCCCAGGGGCGCUCUUACCAGAGAAAGUCAGUGAGGGCUAUUCUCUUCCCGUCUUGCCCAGGAGCAUGCCACCUUGGGGCUGCCAAUCACUGCUGACUUGUGUUGAAGCUAUUAAAACUCUUAGGUCUUUUUUCAGACAAUGCUUUCUGGGCACACCUCCCUCUCAUGUCUUUUACUUGUGAAUUUGAAUUUUUGAACUCAUCGGACUUUACAUUUAUCCCUGUCAAAUUUCCUCUCCAGCAUUCUAAAUUUGUCAAUCUUGGUCACUGAACAAGUUAGCCAUUCUCCCUAGCUUUGUAUGUGUUUCUGUUAUGAUGAGCAUGCUAUGAAUGAUUGCAUCAAGACAUUUACAAAAAUGAUCUAGACUACAGGGCUAAGACCAAUUGUUCAUCUCUAAUUGCCCUUCAGACAUCUUAAACUGGAUGUCCAGUAAAUGUCUUAAACUCAACAUAUCCAAAAUGGAACUCAUGAUCUUUCCCCCAACCCCCCUUUCCUUCUACCUUCCUUAUUACUGCUGAGGGCAACACCCUUGACUGUCAGGAUCACCACCCAAGAUUCAUCCUAGACUCCUCACUGUCUCUCACCUCCCAGAUCCAAUAUGAUGCCAAGACCUGUCAAUUUCACCUCUGCAGCAUCCCUUGUCGAUUUCACCUCUGCAGCAUCCCUUGUCGAUUUCACCUCUGCAGCAUCCCUUGUCGAUUUCACCUCUGCUGCAUCUCUUGUCAAUUUCACCUCUCCAGCAUCUCCAAUACACCCCCUUCUCUCUUCUGACCCUACCCCACCCUGGUACAGGCCCUCACACCUGAACUAUUACAGUAGGAGAUGGGGAUCUCCCUGCCUCAGUCUCUUCCCACCCCAGUCCAUCCUCCAGUCAUUAAAUGAUUUUCCUACAGCACAAGUCUGACCAUGUUGCCCCUACUCAACAAACUCCAGGGGCCCCCUAUCACUCACAGGAGCAAUUACAAAAUGCUCUGUCUGGCAAUCCAAGCCACUCUUAACCUGCUCCCUCCUGCCUUCCCAGUCUCCUUAUGCCGGAGUCCCCCAAGUGACACAGGCUUUCUGGCUAAUCCACAACAAGGCUCUCCAUUUCUCUGUCCCCAGGCAUUCUAACUGCCCUCCAUCCCCCGCCCCAGGCCUGGAAUACUCUCCCUCCUCUGCUCCAGCCUCUGACCUCUCUGGCUUCCUUUAAUUCCCAACUAAACCCUCCCUUCUAUAGGAAGCCUUCCUCAUCCCCCCUCUUCAUUCCAGUGCCUUCUGUCUGUUGAUUAUGUCCCCUUUAUCCUGUACACACUUUGCUUCGUAUGUAUUUGUUUGCCUGUUUGAAGUUUUCCCCAUCAGACUGUGAACCCCUUGAGGGCAGGGGCUGUUU